Molecule: long non-coding RNA, 555 nt
Organism: Mastomys coucha (southern multimammate mouse)
Lineage: Eukaryota; Metazoa; Chordata; Mammalia; Rodentia; Muridae
Exons: 5
Source: RefSeq, a predicted model, not a curated record
GGUAGACAAUUCUGGGACACAGGCCCUUCUCAGAUCAUGUUCUCAACCCUGGCUCCAGUAGGGAGCUCAUCUGAGAUCUCAUCCCUGCCCAGGCCUCAGUACGGCUAGCCCAGCUGCAGAGUAAUGAGGACAUCACACCCUCCGAGUGCUGAGCUCCCUGAGGAACGCAUACUACGGACCAGGGUGUCUAUCUGGACUUAUUGCAUCACUACAAUGUCCACCUAGCUGGAGGCUCUGCACUGUGCUUUGAAAUGAAUCCCGCUAUCCACAGCUCACCUUGGAGCUUCUUGCCCACUCUGCCCCUUCCUUACAAGGACAGGACUGAGGCCACCAAUGAAGGCAUGCACUGAAGAACGUGGUCAUCGGGACAACGGUCACAUAGCUGGCACUGAACUCCUUUCAUCUGCCAUCCUGUGACACCUCUCUGCUGGUGAUGAGGUCUACCAUCAGUCACCAACACAGCCUCGUAGUACAGCAACAGAGACUCUGCUUCAGGAUCAGGUCUUGAAUUCGGAUCCCAGCAACCACACGGUGGCUCACAACUACCGGCAAUGA